This 578-nucleotide ribosomal RNA is filed under the name uncultured bacterium. Its description in RNAcentral is "bacterial SSU rRNA". It matches the Rfam family "Bacterial small subunit ribosomal RNA", at positions 28 to 638 of the family's 1533-position model. The record is from RNAcentral.
AAUCAACGCUGGCGGCGUGCCUAACACAUGCAAGUCGAACGAGAAAGUGGAGCAAUCCAUGAGUAAAGUGGCGACCGGGUGAGUAACACGUGACUAACCUACCUUCGAGUGGGGGAUAACCUCGGGAAGCCGAGGCUAAUACCGCAUAACAUCGCAAGAUCAAAGCAGCAAUGCGCUUGAAGAGGGGGUCGCGGCUGAUUAGCCAGUUGGCGGGGUAACGGCCCACCAAAGCGAAGAUCGGUAGCCGGCCUGAGAGGGCGCACGGCCACACUGGAACUGAAACACGGUCCAGACUCCUACGGGAGGCAGCAGUGGGGAAUUUUGCGCAAUGGGGGAAACCCUGACGCAGCAACGCCGCGUGGAGGAUGAAGCCCCUUGGGGCGUAAACUCCUUUCGACCAAGACGAUAAUGACGGUACUGGUGGAAGAAGCACCGGCUAACUCUGUGCCAGCAGCCGCGGUAAUACAGAGGGUGCGAGCGUUGUUCGGAAUUAUUGGGCGUAAAGGGCGCGUAGGCGGUGCCACAAGUCACCUGUGAAAUCUCUGGGCUUAACUCAGAGCCUGCAGGCGAAACUGUGG